Molecule: RNA transcript, 2114 nt
Organism: Hippopotamus amphibius kiboko
Lineage: Eukaryota; Metazoa; Chordata; Mammalia; Artiodactyla; Hippopotamidae
Gene: NUDT15
Gene name: nudix hydrolase 15
Exons: 6
Source: RefSeq, a predicted model, not a curated record
AAGCAGGACUAGAAGGUAAGGUUGUUCUUCUUACAGUUUUCCUACCAUCUGACUUUUAAAAUUAUGUACGCAUUAUUUUAGAAGUAAAACAACUCAUAUUAAUUUUAAAAAAUCGUCCCCAGAAACCAGUCAUUUGUUUUCAGUUUGUUUUCAUUACAACUCUGAUUCAGCUGGGAUUUUUUUGUUCUACGUGGCGGUGCCAACAACUGGAACAGUGUCUUUCUCCUCCUAAACAGGUAACUAAUUCUUCCCAGCAUAAUUGAUUGAUUAGUCCUUAAUUUUUUUCCCAUGAUUUGUUAAUACUCUGUUAUUCAUACCAGGGUGUUUCCAUUAUUUGUCCUUGCUCCGGUGCCACACUGAUUUGAGCUACAGUAGAACGAGUUUACUGUGGUGAUACUCACUGCGGGGAGGGAUGUGCGAAAGCACGGAGCUUUAUAAAAGUAGGGGGUGCUCAGUGAAUGGAGGAAUCUGAGAGUAGAUGAAUAAUGAAUGUUGAAAGCGCAGUAAACAGCGUUAGUUAAAGCGAAACUCUGGCCACACAGUCUCUCGGGAGGAAACAACCUUCACAACUUGAAACCCGUAGUAGAGGCAGAGACACCACGCACGAACGAGAGACAACUGACGCCUGCGGCCCCCGCGGCGCUUUGCAAAGAGGGUCCGCACCUGCUCAGGGAGAUUGGCGGCGGCCCCGGGGGCGGGGCGCGGCGAACGUCACUUCCGGCUGCGGCCCGCCGGGUCCUCUCGCACGAUGACGACCAGCGUAGAGCCGCGGGGUCGGCGCCCGGGAGCCGGGGUAGGAGUAGUGGUGACAAGCUGCAGGCAUCCUCGCUGUGUCCUCCUGGGGAGGAGGAAAGGGUCGACUGGAGCCGGCACUUUCCAACUUCCCGGAGGCCACUUGGAGUUCGGCCGUGUGAGCUGCGCCUGCGCUGUCAGCUCCUCGCGGGACCUGACGCGGCUGGGAGUUGGUGGUGAAAGCUGGGAAGAGUGUGCUCAAAGGGAAACCUGGGAAGAAGCAGCUCUUCACCUAAAAAAUGUUCGCUUUGCCUCGGUUGUGAAUUCUUUCGUUGAGAAAGAGAAUUACCAUUAUGUCACUAUUUUAAUGAAAGGAGAGGUGGAUGUGACUCAUGAUUCAGAACCAAAGAAUGUAGAGCCUGAAAAAAAUGAAAGUUGGGAGUGGGUUCCUUGGGAAGAACUUCCUCCUCUGGACCAGCUUUUCUGGGGACUACGUUGUUUAAAGGAACAAAGCUACGAUCCAUUUAAAGAAGAUUUGGAUCAUCUGAAUGGCAGUGUGUGCCUUUGAGAAACCUACCAAGUUGGGAUUCCUGGUUCAGAUGCAUAUAUUACAGCAUGUUCACUCAUCCUCCAAAUGCUAAGCAGCCAGAAUGUUAAGCUCUGUCAGUAGAGGGCACUGCAGAGACCUACAGGAGGAACAGGCUUCCCGUCCUGGAUCCUGCGUUUCCCUCUUGCGGUGCCUGGUUGGUGUGCAGGACAUCAGUGGCAUCCCAGUUGGGUGACUUCCCAGCAAGUCUCCUGGGGACCCUAGUGGAUAAUUUCCUACUUGCCAACUCUGGUCAGUGACACCUCAUCUAACUUCUCUGCCAUCCAACAGGCCAGAGCUACACCUUUUCCACCCAGGGCUGAAUAUCAGCCUUGGGAUGCGGUGGGGAGGAGCCUCUUCUCAGUCAGUCCCUUCCUUGGGUAUUUGCCUCAUCCUACACAUAGUAGCUGCCCCCAUAUCUGUUAUUACUGCAUUUUAAAAAAUAUAGUUCUCUUUACCAUCUAGCAGUUAAUAUCUGGUUACUAACUUAGUAAUUCUUUAAAUUUUCCUUCAUAUUGCUGGUGUGGUUUCUGUCUCCUGACUGGACCAUGACUGAAUAUGAUACGGUAUAUCACAAUGAGAAAAAUGAGAAGAUACCAAGGAAAACUAAUGCACAGUGAGUUCCCAGUUGGUAUCUUAGAUAGUUAACAGUGAUGUUUACAAAAGCAUUUUUAAUAACAGGGACAGCCUUACAAUGAAAUGUUAAGCAUAAAAAAGCAUUAUCUAGAGUAUGUUUUUAGCAAUGUAAAAAAUACAGGGAAAAACAUGAAAUAUGUAAAAUAUUAAAAGUGAUUCC